RNAcentral lists this transfer RNA (65 nucleotides) under Dipodomys ordii (Ord's kangaroo rat). It matches the Rfam family "tRNA". From Rfam's summary of the family: Transfer RNA (tRNA) molecules are approximately 80 nucleotides in length. Their secondary structure includes four short double-helical elements and three loops (D, anti-codon, and T loops). The record is from Rfam by way of RNAcentral. Lineage: Eukaryota; Metazoa; Chordata; Mammalia; Rodentia; Heteromyidae.
GGUGGCUCAGUGGUAGAGCGCUUGCCUUGUAUGCAUAGGGCCCUGGGUUCGAUUCCUCAGCACCA